GACAGAGGCCACGAGCGUUAGGCGGAAUCACUGGGCUUAAAGCGUGUGUAGGCGGACCCGUAAGUGUCUUGUGAAAUCCCACGGCUCAACCGUGGAACUGCUGGGCAUACUGCGGGUCUUGAGCCGGCCAGGGGUCACCGGAACAAGCGGUGGAGCGGUGAAAUGCGUAGAUAUCGCUUGGAACGCCAACGGUGAAAACAGGUGACUGGGGCCGCGCUGACGCUGAGACACGAAAGCCAGGGGAGCGAACGGG
RNAcentral lists this ribosomal RNA (253 nucleotides) under uncultured bacterium. Its description in RNAcentral is "partial 16S ribosomal RNA". It matches the Rfam family "Bacterial small subunit ribosomal RNA", at positions 524 to 776 of the family's 1533-position model. The record is from RNAcentral.